Microplitis demolitor is the source of this 4349-nucleotide RNA transcript. RefSeq lists it as uncharacterized. The transcript has 5 exons. The record is from RefSeq and is a predicted model, not a curated record. Lineage: Eukaryota; Metazoa; Arthropoda; Insecta; Hymenoptera; Braconidae.
UAAAGUUGUUGACAACUUGUCGUCAAGUUGGUCAGAAACUAAUGAAUGACCAACUAUUUCACGAUCAACUCGUGCUAUCAGGGUGACUAAAUACAAAUCUAUCUCAAACAUCCACUAGAAAUAAAUACAGUCAUUAUUAACAUCAUUUGACUCUUAACUAUACCGGGAAUAAUAUUCAAUCGAAAUACUUUUCGACUCGAAAGAACUGGUUGUUAAGACAAAAUGAUGGCACCCGUGAUAUGUAAUGCUUUGUUCACAAAUCACCAGACAUUUAUUUGGUGAUUUCACACAUCCACACAUCACCAAUGUCUCCCAGAUUUUCCGGCUGUGAUACCACUCAGAAAAUAAAAAGAAUAAUUAAAUCUGUCAUCUCUACCAAAUCGCUGUUUAGUCAAGAAGCUACUGAAUGUAGAGAAUUGAUACUACCUACUUCUGCAAUUUUGGUAAGAGAUUCGAAUUCCGGAUUGCUGAAAGUAGCGUCAAAGUCAGAUAUUGAAUCAAAUGUACUUGUCUAUAUGCAAUCGGGUGAAAAUGUCGUUGGAGUUGAAAUGCUUCGAUAUGCAGAAAGUAACAAAGCUUUACUAAGUCUUUAAAGAUCUUCUUGUAAAAAACGAAUUCGAGUAGUGAAAAAGUAAGUCUAACACCUUAUCAGAUAAAGCCUCGAAACAAAACCAUUGCUAUUAAUACAAAAAAAAAAAUUGCCUGCUAAAAAAAUUAAAAGACUACAAAAUUUGCCAAGACAACAGAAAAAACGUUCCAAGAGAAAUCAAUGGCAUCAAGUGAUUGUAAUAUUGUUGAAAUAUUUAAUGCCAUCAAAGAGAAUAAUGAUAUUUUGAGUAAUCAACGUACAGAAGUAAGUAUCAUUAUAAGAUACACAACUCUGACUUUUCAGCUUUCCAGUGAUCGUUAAUAAAAGUUUCAUUUGCUGAGAAUUAUUAAAUUUAUACUACUUUGAAGGAGAAUUUUUCAAAUUCAUCCACAGAAGUAGCUGCGAAAUACUUCGAUAAUUAAUUUAUUGAAUUUAUUGAUUACUAGGCUAGCCAAAAAAAUAAUUUUUACGAUUACAGUAAGUAUAAAAAAAGACUAAAUUUUCUAAUAUUUAGAACUUUUUGAAUGCGUUGUCAUUAUUAUGAAAGACGUCAAAUUUGGAAAACAAGAUCAAAAAUUGAUCUGGAAUCCAUACGGAUUAAUCAAACAAAAAUGACCCUGUAUUUAAAAUACUGAGUAAGUUAUUAAAUCAAACAACACAAAAAUAUCGUUACUUUUAGUCGUUGUUCAAUAACUUUCAUGAAGAAUUCCGAUUUAUAAUGUAUUGCUUGACUAUUUGACUUUAUUCAUUUUUCAUUAACUAGACAAGGAGCAAUAUAUUAGAAGAGUAUUUUUUCAAUGUUAAUGUUUCUUCUGAAAAUUUAAGUAUUUAAUAUCCCAAAAUUUACUGAAAUUCAAUCGGACUGAAUAUAAAAAGAUUAAAAUUUGUAUUUGACAGCCUUGAAGCAUUGUUAAUAAGUAUAAUAUUAAAAUUGGAACAAUACUCGUCUGAAGCUCAAUGUCUCACAUAAGUAACCGAACGCAAACAAUAUUUUUUGUAAAUCUUAUAAUUUCAAUUUAUUUUUAUUUUAUAACUUUCAAUCAAUCUAAACAGCGCAUUUGAUUCAAAAAUCUAUUUACUGGAGUAAUGGCAUUUCAUUUUAUUUAAUUUUAUUAACUCAUUGGUUUUGUAACAUAAUUAUCUUAGCAUCGGAGCUUAUUAAUUAACUUAUCUACAAGAUCAAUGGAACGUUGGAAAAAAUGCAGUUAAUCGUGAAUUGACACCAUCCAUCGAACACACACGCAGAUCAGUUCUUGAAAAUACUCCAAGAACUUCACUAUCAUCUGGAUCAAGGAUAAGCUUAUCAUCUCUACAACAACCACGCAAAUCAGUUCAUGAAAGUACUCUAAAAACUCCACUAUCACCUGGUUCAAGGAUGAGCUUCUCAUGUUUACAACAUAUUCGCAGAUCAGUUCAUGAAAAUACUCCAAGAACUCCACUAUCAUCUCGAUCAAGGAUAAGCUUUAUCAUCUCUACAACAACCACGCAAAUCAGUUCAUGAAAGUACUCUAAAAACUCCACUAUCACCUGGUUCAAGGAUGAGCUUCUCAUGUUUACAACAUAUUCGCAGAUCAGUUCAUGAAAAUACUCCAAGAACUCCACUAUCAUCUCGAUCAAGGAUAAGCUUUAUCAUCUCUACAACAACCACGCAAAUCAGUUCAUGAAAGUACUCUAAAAACUCCACUAUCAUCUGGUUCAAGGAUGAGCUUCUCAUGUUUACAACAUAUUCGCAGAUCAGUUCAUGAAAAUACUCCAAGAACUCCACUAUCAACUCGAUCAAGGAUAAGCUUAUCAUCUCUACAGCAUACUCGCAGAUCAGUUCAUGAAAGUCGACCACAUGCUUCAAGAUCACAACAAUCUUCACCACAACAUUUUAAUACAGUGGACUCUCGAUAACUCAAACCUUGUUAAGUCGAAAUCCUCAGUAACUCAAUUGGUAGGAAAUAUAGCUAAGAGCGAUUAACAAUAUUGCUAGCAACAAAUAUGACAGGAUCAGAAAAAUUGAAACCGCUUGUUAUUGGGAAAUCUAGAAAACCACGUUGUUUUUCUGGCUGUAAAUCUUUGCCAUUGGACUAUGAAGCUAACACGAAAGCCUGGAUGACAUCUGAAACAUUCAAGGAAUGGCUACUGAAAAUUGACAAAAAAAUAGUUAAGGAGAAAGGUAAUAUAUUGCUUUUUAUUGAUAACUGUACAGCUCACAACAUAAUUCCACCAUUAAAAGCCAUAAAAGUUAAAUUUCUGCAACCGAAUACGACAUCUAAACUACAGCCCUUAGAUCAAGGAAUAAUUAAAAAUUUCAAAUCUUAUUAUGGAAAAGAAGUUGUAAGAAAACUUAUAGGUGACAUGGAACAACAGUUAGCUUUACCUAUUACUGUAUUGCAGGCAUUGAGAAUGGCAGAUAAAGCGUGGAAGAGUGUAUCUACAAGAACAAUAUCGAAUUGCUUUAACAGUUGCGGAUUUUCGAUGCCACUUAAUUCGUCUACUCCUGAAAUUCUUGAAGAUGUUAAUUUAGAUGAAUUACAAGCAGAUUGGAAUCAACUUCAAAACAUAGGAGUUCAGUUCGAAGAUUACGUGACUUGUGAUGACGAUCUAGCGACCACUGGAACACUGACUAAUGCUGAAAUAAUUGAUAUUGUAAAUCAAAAUGAUACUGUUAAUCUGGAUGACCUUGAUGACGCUGAUUUAUCUGAUUCUGAACCAGCAAUCACAACUAAACAAGCUAGAGAAGCAGUUGACACACUACGAUCCUAUGUUGAAAGAUGUAUUGACAUUGAGUUCAUGUAUUCGAUUCACUAUUUAAGCUUGAGAAAUUAAUUGAUAAAAAAUCUGAGAAUUCUUUACUUCAGAAGAAAAUAACAGACUUUAUGUAAUAUUUUUUACCUUAUUAAUUGAUAAUUUUUUAAAAUAAAUAUGCUUUAUAUAACAGAAAUCAAUUGUUUUCUUAAUUUUUGGUCUAAUCUACUUGCAAAUUUUGAAGAUCUUGUUAAGUCGAAAACUCGUUAACUCGAAGUUUUUAUCGCUUCCCUUGAAGUUCGAGUUAUCGAGAGUCCACUGUAAUGCUCGAAGCUCGUCAUCUGAAUCUGGAGAUUCCUUCAGUUUAAUUCAUUCUUCUCGGUCCUCAAGUCCCAGUAGUUUAAGUGAUUUCGAUGACAUCGUCAAUAAGUCGCAAUUACAACAAGGCUUGAAAUUAUCCCGAAAAAAAUUGUCUCGGACGUAAAAAAAGUUCUCAAAAAUAAUCUUGGGCGACCAUCAACUGACAAUAACGGGAAAGUUAAAAAUUGAAGGGAUUCCUUUAGAUGCCAAAAACUUUUUAAGAGCUUUGUCGGCAAAGAAAAUGAGUCUCCGUGCAAGAAGAUUAAUGCGAGCCUAUUGGACAGAAAAUGAACGCGAUAGACUGAUUACUCGAAAAAAUAAAAAAUUUCCUAAUGUUUUAAUUGUCAGCUCUCGAUAUUAUAAUGAUUUCAUCAACCUUUGUUAUGCUUUACAAAGAACUAGAUUUUUAAAGCAUACGAAGAAACAAGAUCCUGAACAUAAUAUCUAUAAGUGGGUCACAGAUUUUCUUAAAAACGAUCGAUUUGCUCGAAAAAAGCUGAACGAGAAGUCUGAAACAUUUCCCAAUAGGCAGCGAAGAGCGAAAUCUAUUUAAAAAUAACUGGAAAUUAUUGUUAUAUUUUUUGUUAAUAAAAUCAAAAACCUUUUUAUUUUUAUGGUCCUAAAAAAUUUAAUAAAAUAACGAAUUUAUAAUUUAAUAAAAAUUUCA